RNAcentral lists this ribosomal RNA (254 nucleotides) under uncultured bacterium. RNAcentral's name for it is "partial 16S ribosomal RNA". It matches the Rfam family "Bacterial small subunit ribosomal RNA", at positions 524 to 776 of the family's 1533-position model. The record is from RNAcentral.
UACGUAGGGGGCGAGCGUUGUCCGAAGUUACUGGGCGUAAAGCGCGCGUAGGCGGUCUCUUAAGUCCGGGGUGAAAGGUUCAGCGCUCAACGCGAACAGUGCCCUGGAGACUGGGGGACUUGAGUGUGGGAGGGGGCAGUGGAAUUCCGGGUGUAGCGGUGAAAUGCGUAGAUAUCCGGAGGAACACCGAUGGCGAAGGCAGCUGCCUGGCCUGACACUGACGCUGAGGUGCGAAAGCGUGGGGAGCAAACAGG